CAAUAGCGUAUAUUUAAGUUGUUGCAGUUAAAAAGCUCGUAGUUGGAUUUCGGGCCCAGGUGACCGGUCCGCCGUUUCGGUGUGCACUGGUUAGCUCGGUCUUUCUGCCGGGGACACGCUCCGUCUUAAUUGCCGGACGUGGAGUCGGCGAUGUUACUUUGAAAAAUUAGAGUGUUCAAAGCAGGCUUACGCUCUGAAUACUAUAGCAUGGAAUAACACGAUAGGACUCCGGGCCUAUUUUGUUGGUCUUCGGGACCGGAGUAAUGAUUAAGAGGGACAGUUGGGGGCAUUCGUAUUACGGUGUCAGAGGUGAAAUUCUUGGAUUUCCGUAAGACGAACUUCUGCGAAAGCAUUUGCCAAGGAUGUUUUCAUUAAUCAAGAACGAAAGUUGGGGGCUCGAAGACGAUUAGAUACCGU
This 417-nucleotide ribosomal RNA is filed under the name uncultured eukaryote. Its description in RNAcentral is "SSU rRNA". It matches the Rfam family "Eukaryotic small subunit ribosomal RNA", at positions 592 to 1018 of the family's 1831-position model. The record is from RNAcentral.